AUGGGAACGGGGAUGGGAACGGGAGAGAGAGGGCUGGGAACGGGGAUGGGACCGGGAACGGGGAGAGCGGGCCGGGAACGGGACCGGGAACGGGGAUGGGGCCGGGAGAGCGGGCGGGGAACGGGGAUGGAACCGGGAGAGCGGGCCGGGAAAGGGGAGAGAGAGCCGGGAACGGGGAUGGGAACGGGAGAGAGAGGGCUGGGAACGGGGAUGGGAAUGGGAAUGGGAACGGGGAUGGGACCGGGAGAACGGGCCGGGGAUGGGACCGGGAGAACGGACCGGGAACGGGGAGAGCGGGCCGGGAACGGAAGAGCGGGCCGGGAACGGGAGAGCGGGCUGGGAACGGGGAUGGGACCAGGAACGGGGAUGGGAACGGGAGAGAGAGGGCUGGGAACGGGAAUGGGAAUGGGAAUGGGAAUGGGAAUGGGAAUGGGAAUGGGAAUGGGAAUGGGAAUGGGAAUGGGAACGGGGAUGGGACCGGGAGAACGGGCCGGGAAUGGGACUGGGAACGGGAGAGAGAGGGCUGGGAACGGGGAUGGGACCGGGAGAGCGGGCCGGGAACGGGGAUGGGACCAGGAAUGGGAACGGAAGAGCGGGCCGGGAACGGGACUGGGAACGGGGAUGGGAACGGGAGAGAGAGGGCUGGGAACGGGGAUGGGAACGAGGAUGGGAAUGGGAAUGGGAAUGGGAAUGGGAAUGGGAAUGGGAAUGGGAAUGGGAAUGGGAACGGGGAUGGGACCGGGAGAGCGGGCCGGGAAUGGGACUGGGAAUGGGGAUAGGAACGGGAGAGAGAGGUCUGGGAACGGGGAUGGGAAUGGGAACGAGGAUGGGACCGGGAAUGGGACUGGGAACGGGGAUGGGAACGGGAGAGAGAGGGCUGGGAACGGGGAUGGGACCGGGAAUGGAAACGGGAGAGCGGGCCGGGAAUGGGGAUGGGACCGGGAGAACGGGCCGGGAAUGGGAAUGGGAAUGGGAAUGGGAACGGGAAUGGGAAUGGGGAUGGGAACGGGGAUGGGACCGGGAGAACGGGCCGGGAACGGGACUGGGAAUGGGAAUGGGAACGGGGAUGGGACCGGGAACGGGGAGAGCGGGCCGGGAACGGGGAUGGGACCGGGAAUGGGAACGGGAGAGCGGGCCGGGAACGGGGAUGGGGCCGGGAGAGCGGGCCGGGAACGGGGAUGGGAAUGGGACUGGGAACGGGGAUGGGACCGGGAGAACGGGCCGGGAACGGGAAUGGGAAUGGGACUGGGAAUGGGGAUGGGACCGGGAGAACGGGCCGGGAAUGGGACUGGGAACGGGGAUGGGACCGGGAGAGCGGGCCGGGAACAGGGAUGGGACCGGGAGAGCGGGCCGGGAACGGGACUGGGAACGGGAAUGGGAACGGGAGAGAGAGGGCUGGGAACGGGGGUGGGAAUGGUAGAGCGGGCCGGGAACGGGGAGAGAGGGCCGAGAACGGGGAUGGGACCGGGACUGGGACCGGGGAGAGCGGGCUGGGAAUGGGGCUAG
Molecule: long non-coding RNA, 1506 nt
Filed under: Taeniopygia guttata (zebra finch)
Lineage: Eukaryota; Metazoa; Chordata; Aves; Passeriformes; Estrildidae
Description: lncRNA (ENSTGUG00000023801.1)
Source: RNAcentral